RNAcentral lists this ribosomal RNA (492 nucleotides) under uncultured bacterium. Its description in RNAcentral is "partial 16S ribosomal RNA". It matches the Rfam family "Bacterial small subunit ribosomal RNA", at positions 29 to 507 of the family's 1533-position model. The record is from RNAcentral.
AGUGAACGCUGGCGGUAGGCCUAACACAUGCAAGUCGAACGGCAGCACAGUAAGAGCUUGCUCUUACGGGUGGCGAGUGGCGGACGGGUGAGGAAUACAUCGGAAUCUACUUUUUCUUGGGGGAUAACGUAGGGAAACUUACGCUAAUACCGCAUACGACCUACGGGUGAAAGCAGGGGAUCUUCGGACCUUGCGCGAUUGAAUGAGCCGAUGUCGGAUUAGCUAGUUGGCGGGGUAAAGGCCCACCAAGGCGACGAUCCGUAGCUGGUCUGAGAGGAUGAUCAGCCACACUGGAACUGAGACACGGUCCAGACUCCUACGGGAGGCAGCAGUGGGGAAUAUUGGACAAAGGGCGCAAGCCUGCUCCAGCCAUACCGCGUGGGUGAAGAAGGCCUUCGGGUUGUAAAGCCCUUUUGUUGGGAAAGAAAAGCAGCAGGUUAAUACCCCGCUGUUCUGACGGUACCCAAAGAAUAAGCACCGGCUAACUUCGUG